CUACACUAUACAGUAAAACUGUAAAUAUUGUUGCCGUCUCUGCAGUUCCACCGCGACAUGGCCAGUAACAAUAAACUGGAUUUGGUCACUUCGGAUUUGUUCAACGACCAAUUAACAUUAGGCCUGUUGACCGUUCUCGAAAACACCGUGGGCGUGAGAAAUUUGUCGGUCAAACAAAGUCUACCGUGUGACAAGGCAAAAAUAAGUCUGUGGGAGCAGCGGAACGGGUGUCUACUGCCAGAAGACAUCAAGUCGUUUUACUUGUCAUGCGACGGGUUCAAGUUGACUUGGUCGUACAGAGUCGAAGGUAUCACGUCUGAUGCAUCAGCUGCUGCUGUCGGUGGCACUUCCAACUUACCCAUAGGAAACAUCACCGUAAAUCCGCUAUCUGAUUUGGUCCGUCUGUGUGACGUUAAAUCGGACACGGUCAACGUAAACGUGAUGCGUGAUCUACAAUUGCUGGACCGGCUGUCCGACAGGAACACGCCAGACUUCACGGAGAACUCAAAGAUAUUUGAAUUGGACUCGAGCUCGGACGUAGGCCAUGUGUGCCUGGUGUACCUGGAUGACCGGACGUCAGUGGCAUCUGUGGCGGCGAACCGGUCGGACGUCCAUCCACGUGAAGAGCACAGCAGCGCGUCAGUUUGGCUGUUGGACACCACGUAUCGCUGGCAUUUGCUUGCUCCGAACUUCAGCAAUUAUUUCAGAAAGGCUCUGGUCCACAUGGGCCUACCCCACUGGCAACUCAAGUUCACCGACAUGGGACUCACGUCCAUCGGCGAGGUUCUUCCAUGAUUAUUUCAUUCCAAGCAUGGACUAAGAAUUAAGAUAAAAAGAUAUUAUAUUUUUUCAUGAAUUUGAUGGCCCCUCAUUUGAACGUGACCGAUCGAGUUCCUAUAAUCGGCCAAUUAGACGAUG
RNAcentral lists this unclassified non-coding RNA (918 nucleotides) under Rhopalosiphum maidis (corn leaf aphid). Its description in RNAcentral is "tubulin polyglutamylase complex subunit 2, transcript variant X1". The record is from RNAcentral. Lineage: Eukaryota; Metazoa; Arthropoda; Insecta; Hemiptera; Aphididae.